RNAcentral lists this ribosomal RNA (486 nucleotides) under uncultured bacterium. RNAcentral describes it as "partial 16S ribosomal RNA". It matches the Rfam family "Bacterial small subunit ribosomal RNA", at positions 30 to 507 of the family's 1533-position model. The record is from RNAcentral.
AUUGAACGCUGGCGGCAUGCCUUACACAUGCAAGUCGAACGGCAGCACGGGUGCUUGCACCUGGUGGCGAGUGGCGAACGGGUGAGUAAUACAUCGGAACAUGUCCUGUAGUGGGGGAUAGCCCGGCGAAAGCCGGAUUAAUACCGCAUACGAUCUACGGAUGAAAGCGGGGGACCUUCGGGCCUCGCGCUAUAGGGUUGGCCGAUGGCUGAUUAGCUAGUUGGUGGGGUAAAGGCCUACCAAGGCGACGAUCAGUAGCUGGUCUGAGAGGACGACCAGCCACACUGGGACUAAGACACGGCCCAGACUCCUACGGGAGGCAGCAGUGGGGAAUUUUGGACAAUGGGCGAAAGCCUGAUCCAGCAAUGCCGCGUGUGUGAAGAAGGCCUUCGGGUUGUAAAGCACUUUUGUCCGGAAAGAAAUCCUUGGCCCUAAUACGGUCGGGGGAUGACGGUACCGGAAGAAUAAGCACCGGCUAACUACGUG